AGUCGGCCGCGGGAGGAGGACUUCUGGCCAGCGUCACCGGCCUCUGGUGUCGGUUCGUCGGCACCUGCGACUGAGCGCCGCUGGAACUGCAGCGAGCCUGGACGAGCGCAGCGGUCGGCAUCGGGGGUCUACCGAGCUCUACCGACCUCGGAGGUCUACUGAACGUCUACCGACAUCGGAGGACUACCGACCGUCGGCAGCCGCGACUUCCAGCACCCACUGCCCGUGUCGAUUGCUCAUCAUUCCGGCUGACAGUUGUCACACUGCCUGCCAAACCAGCUGACAGCAGUCACACUGCCUGCUGGACCGGCUGAUGGCAGUCAUACUGCCCGCUAUGUUAGCUGACAGCUGUCACACUGCCUGCUGGACCGGCUGAUAGCAGUCAUACUGCCCGCCAGAUCAUCUGAAAGCAGUCACACUGCCCGCUGUGUUAGCUGACGGCAGUCAUACUGCCAGCUGAGCCCGUGGGUGGUGUGAAUAGGCGUGGGAGCCUGUGUCACAGGGACGCGUAGGGAAGAGACUAUCAAUUAGCAAUCAUCACAUACCUCCAGUGCUGCAUAUCGGGAUGGACAGAGUUGACCGGGGUCUCAACUGGCCAACUGGCCAACUGGUCAACUCAACUGGUCAACUCUCAACUGUCGGGUGUGAACUGUGACAGUGCUCCGUUACCGGCUGCGACGCGUGGGGAGAGACGCGAACUGCCUGUACCGCGAGCCGGUGGUUUCCCAGUCUCCGGUGCAGCGGGGCUCGAGUGCGCGCCCGUCGGACCGCUCACGGGAGGCUCUAUUCCGGGCCGGCGCGAGCCCAGCUGAGCCUCUCUCCGGCUCCGGUCAGCUCCGGCCCGGACCGCGCCGAGCGGCUGGGGCUGCACUGGGAGCUGCGCCCGCCGAGCAGCGCUCUCUCGAGGGGCGAUCACAGGAGGCGGUCCGGGACCUCUGUCUCUACACUGCACACGACACGCGCCACGGUGAUCUCAGGAGGAAGGCGGCUACAAAGACAGCGCUGGGUGCACCACCGCGCGCGGCACGGCGUUCCGCUGCUGGGUGCGCUCUGGUGCCGUGAGUGUCCGUGAGAAAUGAGUUAUACGGUGGGGUAGGGUCGGGGAGAUGUCGGGGUUAUAAGCCCCAGCGUUGUUUGUUUAUGUGGGCGGCUGAUGCUAGUUUAUGUGGGCAGCUAAUGCGGGUGACGCGGGGCGUUAUUUCAAAGAAACCAGCAGCCGCAUGUUUGCCAUUUGGAAAUUAGAGAUUGAUUGGGCGAGUGUUUUACUUCGUUGAUGCUUUUGGCUUUUGCAUUUGCUGCGAAAGCGAAGUGUUCGUUAUUGGUUGUUGAUCGAUUAUAAUCAAACUCGAUGGUUUGAUACCACAGGAAAUGUAAACAAUGUUUCACAACGAAAACAGCUCUAACGCUGUGACCGUCACAACUUCAACGGAUUCGGGACUUAUUUCAACUGCGUACGUUCUUUGAAUUCAGAGACUGUGCAGACCGCGCUGCUGAAUGCCCUGACUGUUUAUCUGAACGGAUAGCAAUAGUACCUGUCCCUGUUCACACACCGUCAGUGACACUACCUGAAGGCCCGCCUUGGUCGGGUAGGUGCCGCUCCCAUAGCCGACUGUGCCGCUCAUAGCUCGUCACCUCUGCGCCACUCCAGGUGUCUCGAUCGGUCGUAGCCUCGCUGACCGCUGGUUACCGUACACAUGUGUAAUGCGCUCCAUGACAAUGUUCAUAGUCAUAGAAUGGCAGAUUCUUUGCUGGCGUUUUAAUGGCGUCGUGUUAUGAUGGAUGAUUAUUUGAAUUAUCAUUGACAUGUGUUGUGAGGUAAUAAAUGAUGAACAAGAUCGA
This is a long non-coding RNA of Amphibalanus amphitrite, 1839 nucleotides long. RefSeq lists it as uncharacterized. Lineage: Eukaryota; Metazoa; Arthropoda; Thecostraca; Balanomorpha; Balanidae. The transcript is spliced from 2 exons. The record is from RefSeq and is a predicted model, not a curated record.